GUGCUCGCUUUGGCAGCACCUAUACUAAAAUUGGAACGAUACAGAGAAGAUUAGCACAGCCCUGCACAAGGAUGAUAGAAAAUUUAUGAAGUGUUCUAUAUAUAU
Molecule: small nuclear RNA, 105 nt
Organism: Pipistrellus kuhlii (Kuhl's pipistrelle)
Lineage: Eukaryota; Metazoa; Chordata; Mammalia; Chiroptera; Vespertilionidae
Source: RefSeq, a predicted model, not a curated record